GUCUAAAGCCAUGCUACCCUGAAUAAGCCUGAUCCCAUUCGAUCUCGGAAGCUAAGCAGGGUUGGGUAAGGUUAGUACUUGGAUGGGAGACCACCUAGGAAGACCAGGUGCUGUAGGUC
Molecule: ribosomal RNA, 119 nt
Filed under: Pteropus alecto (black flying fox)
Lineage: Eukaryota; Metazoa; Chordata; Mammalia; Chiroptera; Pteropodidae
Source: RNAcentral